Molecule: ribosomal RNA, 253 nt
Filed under: uncultured bacterium
Lineage: Bacteria
Description: partial 16S ribosomal RNA
Rfam family: Bacterial small subunit ribosomal RNA
Source: RNAcentral
UACGGAGGGUGCGAGCGUUAAUCGGAAUUACUGGGCGUAAAGCGCGCGUAGGUGGUUAGAUUAGUUGGAUGUGAAAGCCCAGGGCUCAACCUUGGAACUGCAUUCAAUACUGUCUAACUAGAGUACGGAAGAGGGGAGUGGAAUUUCUCGUGUAGCAGUGAAAUGCGUAGAUAUGAGAAGGAACACCAGUGGCGAAGGCGACUCCCUGGUCUGAUACUGACACUGAGGUGCGAAAGCGUGGGUAGCAAACGGG